This 1367-nucleotide ribosomal RNA is filed under the name uncultured bacterium. RNAcentral describes it as "16S ribosomal RNA". It matches the Rfam family "Bacterial small subunit ribosomal RNA". The record is from RNAcentral.
AGAGUUUGAUCCUGGCUCAGGAUGAACCUUUGCGGUGUGCCUAAUACAUGCAAGUCGAACGGUGACUAUUUUGUAGCAAUACGAAUGAAAUCAUAGUGGCGAACGGGUGAGUAACGCGUUGGUGAUCUGCCUCGAAGUGUGGAAUAACUUCCCGAAAGGGUAGCUAAUACCGCAUACUCUCUCAAGGUUUAAAAAAUUGAGAGUAAAGGAUUUAUUCGCUUCGAGAGGAGCCUGCGUCCCAUCAGCUAGUUGGUAGGGUAAUAGCCUACCAAGGCAAUGACGGGUAGGGGACCUGAGAGGGUGGCCCCCCACAAUGGAACUGAAACACGGUCCAUACACCUACGGGUGGCAGCAGUAGGGAAUAUUAGAAAUGGGCGAAAGCCUGAUCUAGCAACACCGCGUGUGCGAUGAAGGCCUUCGGGUUGUAAAGCACUUUUUGGAGGGAAUAGGAAGGAAGGUACCUCCAGAAUAAGUCUCGGCUAACUACGUGCCAGCAGCCGCGGUAACACGUAGGAGGCAAACGUUAUCCGGAUUCACUGGGCGUAAAGCGCGUGUAGGUGGUUCUGUAAGUAGGGCGUGAAAGCUCCCGGCUCAACUGGGAGAGGCCGUACUAAACUGCAGAGCUAGAGGAUGGUAGAGGGAGGUGGAAUUCCAGGUGUAGUGGUGAAAUGCGCAGAUAUCUGGAGGAACACCAGUGGCGAAGGCGGCCUCCUGGACCAUUCCUGACACUCAGACGCGAAAGCUAGGGUAGCAAACGGAAGUAGAGACUCCGGUAGUCCUAGCCCUAAACGAUGCAGACUAGGCUUGGGCGGUUAAUUCACCGUCGGUGUCCAAGCUAACGCGAUAAGUCUGCCGCCUGAGGACUACGGCCGCAAGGCUAAAACUCAAAGGAAUUGACGGGUCCCCGCACAAGCAGCGGAGCGUGUGGUUUAAUUCGAUGCUCCGCGAAGAACCUUACCUGGGUUUGACGUAACAGUGGUAGAGAAGUGAAAACGGAUCGACCCUUCGGGGAGCUGUUACAGGUGUUGCAUGCCUGUCGUCAGCUCGUGUCGUGAGAUGUUCGGUUAAGUCCGCUAACGAGCGCAACCCGCGCUGUGUGUUACAAGUGUCACACAGUACCGCCGGUAUUAAGUCGGAGGAAGGUGCGGAUGACGUCAAGUCAGCAUGACCUUUAUAUCCAGGGCUACACACGCUACAAUGGUCAGAACAAUAGGUUGCCAAGCCGCAAGGCGGAGCCAAUCCUCCAAAUCUGGCCUCAGUUCAGAUUGCAGGCUGCAACUCGCCUGCAUGAAGUCGGAGUUGCUAGUAACCGCAGGUCAGCAUACUGCGGUGAAUACGUUCCCGGGGAUUGUACACACCGCCCGUCA